AGCCAUAAGAUAAGAUUUAUGGUUAAACCUGCCCAAUGUUUAUAAAUUAAUGGCCGCGGUACCCUGACCGUGCUAAGGUAGCGUAAUUAGUUGGCUUUUAAAUGGAGUCAGGAAUGAAUGGGAUAACCGGGAUUAGCUGUCUCUUUGCUAUUUAAUCGAAUUUACUGAUCAAGUGAAAAAGCUUGAAAAAUGAAAAGGGACGAGAAGACCCUUAGAAUUUCACUUAAUAUAAGUAUAGUAUGCUUUGUUUUAGUUUUGUUGGGGUGACAGAGAAAUAUUUUCUAACUUUCUUUAACUAUACUUGCCGAGUUUACUAAGUAAGGAUAAAUUACCUGAGGGAUAACAGCAUAAUUCUAUAGAUGAGUUUGUGACCUCGAUGUUGGACUAGGAAACUAACAAGCUAGCCGUUUGUUGUGUUGGUUCUGUUCGAACUUUAAUUCCUACAUGAUCUGAGUUCAGA
RNAcentral lists this ribosomal RNA (460 nucleotides) under Armina babai. RNAcentral's name for it is "partial small subunit ribosomal RNA". It matches the Rfam family "Bacterial large subunit ribosomal RNA", at positions 1829 to 2615 of the family's 2925-position model. Lineage: Eukaryota; Metazoa; Mollusca; Gastropoda; Nudibranchia; Arminidae. The record is from RNAcentral.